RNAcentral lists this ribosomal RNA (380 nucleotides) under uncultured eukaryote. Its description in RNAcentral is "partial 18S ribosomal RNA". It matches the Rfam family "Eukaryotic small subunit ribosomal RNA", at positions 592 to 976 of the family's 1831-position model. The record is from RNAcentral.
CAAUAGCGUAUAUUAAAGUUGUUGCAGUUAAAAAGUUCGUAGUUGGAUCUGUGGUGUGCGGUGGGCUCCGGGCACUUGUUGUCUGAGUAGCUCGCCGCUGCCAUCCUUGGGUGGAACCUGUGUGGCAUUAGGUUGUCGUGCAGGGGAUGCCCAUCGUUUACUGUGAAAAAAUUAGAGUGUUCAAAGCAGGCUUAUGCCGUUGAAUAUAUUAGCAUGGAAUAAUGAGAUAGGACUUUUUCGCUAUUUUGUUGGUUUGCGCGAAGAGGUAAUGAUUAAUAGGGACAGUUGGGGGUAUUCGUAUUCCAUUGUCAGAGGUGAAAUUCUUGGAUUUUUGGAAGACGAACUACUGCGAAAGCAUUUACCAAGGAUGUUUUCAUUAA